CUGUGAGCUCGAUGAGUAGGGCGGGACACGUGGUAUCCUGUCUGAAUAUGGGGGGACCAUCCUCCAAGGCUAAAUACUCCUGACUGACCGAUAGUGAACCAGUACCGUGAGGGAAAGGCGAAAAGAACCCCGGCGAGGGGAGUGAAAAAGAACCUGAAACCGUGUACGUACAAGCAGUGGGAGCCUCUUAAUGGGGUGACUGCGUACCUUUUGUAUAAUGGGUCAGCGACUUAUAUUCUGUAGCAAGGUUAACCGAAUAGGGGAGCCGAAGGGAAACCGAGUCUUAACUGGGCGUUAAGUUGCAGGGUAUAGACCCGAAACCCGGUGAUCUAGCCAUGGGCAGGUUGAAGGUUGGGUAACACUAACUGGAGGACCGAACCGACUAAUGUUGAAAAAUUAGCGGAUGACUUGUGGCUGGGGGUGAAAGGCCAAUCAAACCGGGAGAUAGCUGGUUCUCCCCGAAAGCUAUUUAGGUAGCGCCUCGUGAAUUCAUCUCCGGGGGUAGAGCACUGUUUCGGCAAGGGGGUCAUCCCGACUUACCAACCCGAUGCAAACUGCGAAUACCGGAGAAUGUUAUCACGGGAGACACACGGCGGGUGCUAACGUCCGUCGUGAAGAGGGAAACAACCCAGACCGCCAGCUAAGGUCCCAAAGUCAUGGUUAAGUGGGAAACGAUGUGGGAAGGCCCAGACAGCCAGGAUGUUGGCUUAGAAGCAGCCAUCAUUUAAAGAAAGCGUAAUAGCUCACUGGUCGAGUCGGCCUGCGCGGAAGAUGUAACGGGGCUAAACCAUGCACCGAAGCUGCGGCAGCGACGUUUAUGCGUUGUUGGGUAGGGGAGCGUUCUGUAAGCCUGCGAAGGUGUACUGUGAGGUAUGCUGGAGGUAUCAGAAGUGCGAAUGCUGACAUAAGUAACGAUAAAGCGGGUGAAAAGCCCGCUCGCCGGAAGACCAAGGGUUCCUGUCCAACGUUAAUCGGGGCAGGGUGAGUCGACCCCUAAGGCGAGGCCGAAAGGCGUAGUCGAUGGGAAACAGGUUAAUAUUCCUGUACUUGGUGUUACUGCGAAGGGGGGACGGAGAAGGCUAUGUUGGCCGGGCGACGGUUGUCCCGGUUUAAGCGUGUAGGCUGGUUUUCCAGGCAAAUCCGGAAAAUCAAGGCUGAGGCGUGAUGACGAGGCACUACGGUGCUGAAGCAACAAAUGCCCUGCUUCCAGGAAAAGCCUCUAAGCAUCAGGUAACAUCAAAUCGUACCCCAAACCGACACAGGUGGUCAGGUAGAGAAUACCAAGGCGCUUGAGAGAACUCGGGUGAAGGAACUAGGCAAAAUGGUGCCGUAACUUCGGGAGAAGGCACGCUGAUAUGUAGGUGAAGUCCCUCGCGGAUGGAGCUGAAAUCAGUCGAAGAUACCAGCUGGCUGCAACUGUUUAUUAAAAACACAGCACUGUGCAAACACGAAAGUGGACGUAUACGGUGUGACGCCUGCCCGGUGCCGGAAGGUUAAUUGAUGGGGUUAGCGGUAACGCGAAGCUCUUGAUCGAAGCCCCGGUAAACGGCGGCCGUAACUAUAACGGUCCUAAGGUAGCGAAAUUCCUUGUCGGGUAAGUUCCGACCUGCACGAAUGGCGUAAUGAUGGCCAGGCUGUCUCCACCCGAGACUCAGUGAAAUUGAACUCGCUGUGAAGAUGCAGUGUACCCGCGGCAAGACGGAAAGACCCCGUGAACCUUUACUAUAGCUUGACACUGAACAUUGAGCCUUGAUGUGUAGGAUAGGUGGGAGGCUUUGAAGUGUGGACGCCAGUCUGCAUGGAGCCGGCCUUGAAAUACCACCCUUUAAUGUUUGAUGUUCUAACGUUGGCCCCUUACCGGGGUUGCGGACAGUGUCUGGUGGGUAGUUUGACUGGGGCGGUCUCCUCCUAAAGAGUAACGGAGGAGCACGAAGGUUGGCUAAUCCUGGUCGGACAUCAGGAGGUUAGUGCAAUGGCAUAAGCCAGCUUGACUGCGAGCGUGACGGCGCGAGCAGGUGCGAAAGCAGGUCAUAGUGAUCCGGUGGUUCUGAAUGGAAGGGCCAUCGCUCAACGGAUAAAAGGUACUCCGGGGAUAACAGGCUGAUACCGCCCAAGAGUUCAUAUCGACGGCGGUGUUUGGCACCUCGAUGUCGGCUCAUCACAUCCUGGGGCUGAAGUAGGUCCCAAGGGUAUGGCUGUUCGCCAUUUAAAGUGGUACGCGAGCUGGGUUUAGAACGUCGUGAGACAGUUCGGUCCCUAUCUGCCGUGGGCGCUGGAGAACUGAGGGGGGCUGCUCCUAGUACGAGAGGACCGGAGUGGACGCAUCACUGGUGUUCGGGUUGUCAUGCCAAUGGCACUGCCCGGUAGCUAAAUGCGGAAGAGAUAAGUGCUGAAAGCAUCUAAGCACGAAACUUGCCCCGAGAUGAGUUCUCCCUGA
Molecule: ribosomal RNA, 2437 nt
Filed under: Escherichia coli
Lineage: Bacteria; Pseudomonadati; Pseudomonadota; Gammaproteobacteria; Enterobacterales; Enterobacteriaceae
Description: partial 23S ribosomal RNA
Rfam family: Bacterial large subunit ribosomal RNA
Source: RNAcentral